Molecule: small nuclear RNA, 107 nt
Organism: Fukomys damarensis (Damara mole-rat)
Lineage: Eukaryota; Metazoa; Chordata; Mammalia; Rodentia; Bathyergidae
Source: Ensembl
AUGCUAGCUUCAGCCGCUUACAGAUUAAAAUCGGAAUGAUACAGAGGGGCUUAGCGUGGCCCCUGUGCAGGGAUGACAUGCAAAUUCAUAAAGCGAAUAUUUUUAAU